This 662-nucleotide long non-coding RNA is filed under the name Camelus dromedarius (Arabian camel). RNAcentral describes it as "lncRNA (ENSCDRG00005009094.1)". The record is from RNAcentral. Lineage: Eukaryota; Metazoa; Chordata; Mammalia; Artiodactyla; Camelidae.
UCUCUCUGCGUGCACCCGCUUCUUUCCGGAAUUUACCGUGACGGUUCUCUUCUCUACCCUCCUUCUUUCACGGGUGAACUUGCUGCUCCAGCGUGACACAGCACUUUAAGGGACUGGCUGGGCUCCUCCGAGCAGACUGCUGGUGUGGGUUCUCAGUGUGGCCAGAGUGACGCAGUUGUGACCCUGAGCAGACCGUGAACUCCCGUUCCCUCAGUUUUCCUUUCUGUAAAAUGAGCAUCAAGAUGGUCCCUAACUCCUGGUGGUGGUAUUUUGAGGAUUAAAUAAAGUGCCUGUACAUUGAUGGGGCCAGUGCUCGGCACAUGGUGGUAGAGCCUGGAACAGAGAAGCAGGCCAUUUGCGUUGAUACAGGAUUGCCUGUUGCAGGCUGGGUUUGGAAGACUGGGGAUUGGGAAAGAUUCUUUCUUCUCCUUCAAGAAUCCUGUGCAUAUCAUUACUGAAAAAAAAAAAAAAAGAAGAAGAAGAUGAAGAAGAAGGAGGAAAGAACAUGACCCUCAUCUCACUUCUUACAACAAAACCAGCCGUACAACUUCUAGAAGAAGAUGUUGGAGAUCAUCUUUGCAACCUUUGGGGCAGGUAUUUCUUAGGACACAGAAGUCACUAACUAGACAAUAAAAAGCUAAUAAAUUUGACUUCAUUAAAAU